GCAGCCAAAUUUCUACUGGAUUGGAUGUUCUCCUUUUCUAAAACCAGCAGCGCCUUUGCAUUGAGGUCAAAUAUUUUCGUCCGUUCUUCACUUAACUUACCAGGACCUGGAACCAUCUACUGGGACCUUGGGCCAGCAACUGUUUCCAGAAGUUUUAUAACCUUAACUUUUGGGGUGAUACGCAAGUGAACCGCUUGCUUCAGGUUUUCAAUGUCUAUGGGAAGUUACAGCCAUAUCACAGCUACAUUUGACACAGAGAUAAAAUAGUGGACCCAGUAGACCCUACAGUACCUCCAUAUACAUCUUAUUUUGGAGAGAAUUCUCCCGUAGAAGUACCCAAUGGAGCCUGAACGGUAGCACUCAAAGGCAAGGUGGCUCCUUACUAGGAAAGACGACAUUUGAAGAUGUGACAUAAGGUCUUGACUUCCCAACCCCGGCACUGCGGUGAUAACUGUACAGGAUGAAACACUAAAAUCCUUUUCAUAUCUGGGAAAGGGAAUAAAGGAAAUAGAGAAGAAAUCGAAUUUAAAUAAGUUAUCUAAUAUUGUUAGACAUCAGGGCUCCAUGUGGAAUAUUACAAAUGUGAAGCUUCUUUAUCUCCACACUAUGAGGAGAAUUUAUCAUGGUGCGGGUGAUGUACAUGUUUUUUACCCUGCCAUGAUUAAGGGUCCAGCUUGACCCGAAACGCGUUGGUGUUUCUGUGUGCUCCAUGUGAUCGCCAUUAAAGUUUCUGUUAGACCUUAUCAUGCGCUGGACAUUCCUUCUCUUAGUUUUGCCUACAGGACCGGUGGCACAGCCGGUUAGUCAGGAAGCGGAUGGGAAAGUCAGGCUGGAAAGUCAGUAAACUUUUGCUGUUAUAUGUUUUUUACCCUAGUUUCCUUGCAAUGUAUUUGACAUGGCUGGGACUAACUUAUCAUAAAGUCGCACAGCCUUUCAUGAAUGGUGUGCAGGAGCCUCAGUGAUAAUGAUGACAGGAAAUAUUGCGUGGUAUAGACACUUUUUACAGCGUAAAGACCAUAAUAAAUGUCCUCCUAUUAGCACAGGAAAGGUUACGACUGAUGACCCCUACUUUUAACCCCUUUUUACUUACACUGGAUGUCAUCUUCACUGCGGAAGUGCUGAUGGAGCAUAGGAGCCCUUUUGGACAAGCACACAGAUUGUGUAGAUUAUAUGGCUCCACAAUGAUGCAGCCCUAGACAAUAUGAUGAAAUGUGGAUUUCAUUUCUCCCAGCGAACGUUCCUCCCUUGUAGACAGAGACGACGAGGAGAUGAAACAUGAAGGGAGCAGAGACGACAAUGGCGAUGGUACGAGUGUCAGAAGCCACUGCAGCGAUGUGAUUCACUGUACCCAGCGCUAAUAAAACACGAGGGAGGGACUACAUCUUAUAAGAUCAAUAUAUCUUUGAACUGAGCGCACAGUCUGAAACCCAGCAAAUUAUACGCCGCGCCGGCAUAAGAGCGACAGACAGCGCCCAAGGCAACUCUCCAAAAGAAAAACAAUCAAAAGGAAAAAAAUAAUAAUAAAACGGCAGUCAGCGGAGCGGGGGAGGGCGAUUAGAAUAUCUAUGGAAAUGGAUCCGUGAUUGGUCAAAGGGCAUCGCUCCAAUCAUACAUAAAAUAUUGCUAGAGCAACGCUCAUAUAUAAAGGGGUCACGACAUGAAAUAAAC
Long non-coding RNA from Hyla sarda, 1668 nucleotides. RefSeq lists it as uncharacterized. The transcript has 4 exons. The record is from RefSeq and is a predicted model, not a curated record. Lineage: Eukaryota; Metazoa; Chordata; Amphibia; Anura; Hylidae.